This 211-nucleotide ribosomal RNA is filed under the name uncultured bacterium. RNAcentral's name for it is "partial 16S ribosomal RNA". It matches the Rfam family "Bacterial small subunit ribosomal RNA", at positions 122 to 334 of the family's 1533-position model. The record is from RNAcentral.
CAACCUGCCGAUAACUCGGGGAUAGCCUUUCGAAAGAAAGAUUAAUACCCGAUGGCAUAAUAGAACCGCAUGGUUUGAUUAUUAAAGAAUUUCGGUUAUCGAUGGGGAUGCGUUCCAUUAGGCAGUUGGUGGGGUAACGGCCCACCAAACCUUCGAUGGAUAGGGGUUCUGAGAGGAAGGUCCCCCACAUUGGAACUGAGACACGGUCCAA